GCUUCUGUAGAUCAGUGUUAGAUCACCUCCGCUGCGUGAAGGGUUCCAUAUGCAUCGGAGGAGACGUAGGUUCAAGUCCUACUGGAGGUG
Mycena metata is the source of this 90-nucleotide non-coding RNA. NCBI's taxonomy places the organism in Eukaryota, Fungi, Basidiomycota, Agaricomycetes, Agaricales, Mycenaceae. The record is from the annotation of a GenBank genome assembly.